Molecule: ribosomal RNA, 524 nt
Filed under: uncultured bacterium
Lineage: Bacteria
Description: partial 16S ribosomal RNA
Rfam family: Bacterial small subunit ribosomal RNA
Source: RNAcentral
UGGGGAAUUUUGGACAAUGGGCGAAAGCCUGAUCCAGCAAUGCCGCGUGUGUGAAGAAGGCCUUCGGGUUGUAAAGCACUUUUGUCCGGAAAGAAAUCCUUGGCUCUAAUACAGUCGGGGGAUGACGGUACCGGAAGAAUAAGCACCGGCUAACUACGUGCCAGCAGCCGCGGUAAUACGUAGGGUGCAAGCGUUAAUCGGAAUUACUGGGCGUAAAGCGUGCGCAGGCGGUUUGCUAAGACCGAUGUGAAAUCCCCGGGCUCAACCUGGGAACUGCAUUGGUGACUGGCAGGCUAGAGUAUGGCAGAGGGGGGUAGAAUUCCACGUGUAGCAGUGAAAUGCGUAGAGAUGUGGAGGAAUACCGAUGGCGAAGGCAGCCCCUGGGCCAAUACUGACGCUCAUGCACGAAAGCGUGGGGAGCAAACAGGAUUAGAUACCCUGGUAGUCCACGCCCUAAAACGAUGUCAACUAGUUGUUGGGGAUUCAUUCCUUAGUAACUAGCUAACGCGUGAAGUUGACCGCCU